AUACUGAGGGUGCAAGCGUUAAUCGGAAUUACUGGGCGUUAAGCGCGCGUAGGUUGCCAUGUAAGUCGGUAGUGAAAGGCCACGGCUCAACCGUGGAAGUGCUAUCGAAACUGCAUGGCUAGAGGAUGAGAGGGGAAGGCGGAAUUCCAGGUGUAGCGGUGAAAUGCACAGAUAUCUGGAGGAACACCGGCGGCGAAGGCGGCCUUCUGGAUCAUCCCUGACACUGAGGCGCGAAAGCGUGGGGAGCGAACAGGAUUAGAAACCCCGGUAGUCC
This 274-nucleotide ribosomal RNA is filed under the name uncultured bacterium. RNAcentral's name for it is "partial 16S ribosomal RNA". It matches the Rfam family "Bacterial small subunit ribosomal RNA", at positions 523 to 796 of the family's 1533-position model. The record is from RNAcentral.